AGGUCAACCCUUUUUUCCUUCUACUCUUGGCUGACAUAUUUUGAAUUUUUUUCCAACAAAUAGGUAUAAAUGUUCUCUUUUGUUGGCUAGGUGAAAAUACAUGGAAAGAUUGAUUGAGAAAUUGGGUGUGUACUUGAUUGGGAGACAGACGAAACCCCCAGCUUCUCUUUAAGGUUUGCUGCCAUAUCUUGCGUCUGCAACGAGCCAUACCAGGCUAGUGAUUCAUCUAGUCCCGCCUCCUGAGUGCCUCCAGUUGUUGGGCAAGCUUCCAAUUGGUUGGACCAGCUUUAGAGUGAAGCCCCAGUUGUCUGCAAUUGAUCAUCACAAGGGCGAUUCUUAGCCCAGAUUUGCCAAGAGAGUCGCAGCUGAAUCCAAUACAGGAAGGUGUGAAUAUGUCAGGCCUAAGUUUGUUUUUGAGCGAUCUCAGAAAUGCUGGCAUAUCUUCAUGGGAUUUUUAAUCCACAUGCAGGCCAAUGGGUUUAUAGGUGCGUGGGUUAGUAUUCUAUAGGAGCUGAGCGAUAUCAUUGAGAUGUACAGAGGGCUUAAUGCCUCAGUAUCAUCUAGACGGUUGAUAGAAGAUUCCAGCUUUGUGUGAUCGAUCCAUCAUUGAAUUUGUAGGCUUGAACAGAUCUAAAUUAUCAUAGUUGUUCCCUCAUUGAUUGUGUGGUCCAGUACUCUAAGCUAAUUUGAAUUUUGAACCAUUCUAGAAGAUUUUGAGUA
This is a long non-coding RNA of Cryptomeria japonica (Japanese cedar), 720 nucleotides long. RefSeq lists it as uncharacterized. Lineage: Eukaryota; Viridiplantae; Streptophyta; Pinopsida; Cupressales; Cupressaceae. The transcript is spliced from 2 exons. The record is from RefSeq and is a predicted model, not a curated record.